AACUGCAGACUUCAAAGAAUUGGCCAGGGCAUUCACAGAGUUGGUCUGAUGGUGCCUGCUAAUGUCAUCGACCUCACCCUUUGCUUGAGGAACAAAAGAGGAAGCGUCCCCCAUUUGGGCCAUGUCAUGAGGAUACCUGGACCACCGAUUGAGAUGUGCCUUUUUAAGUAAAUCAAGUGAAAAGGAGACUGAAGUAGGACUUUAAUUUUUGCUCCUCCAGUUACACAACCUCCCUUCCAAUCUCUAAUUUGAUAGGCCUACCUGUAAAAUGGGAGGGGUGUCAUAUCCCCUUAACCAGAGAAAUGGGACAACAUUUACACACACUUUGGUUGACUCAGCUUGGCGAUUCAACUUUCAGCUUGAUCUCAAUUAUUGGAGAGAGGCCUCAUUGCUUUAUCAGUCAUGCAAGACUUCAUGUAUGCAUAUGGUUCCCGCCAUAGAGCUAACAAUAGGCCCCAAUCACCACACAACCCACACCCCAAGUGCCACAAGUCCCACUUGCCGCGGCUGAGAGAUCUUGGGUAAAGAGGUCUUUGUACAUUACUUCCCACGUCGUAAAGGAACCAAAGUACCAGUAGUAGCUGGCAUUGGAGUAUGAAGACCAAGCAUGGGAGCUAGGUGUGACUUGUGCCUUCCCACUGGUUCCCCUGGUCCCACAAUAAAGUACACCUGAGUGAUGAUUAUGGGAUUGCAAUUUUGGCCACGCUGAUCAGACACUUCGUUUGAGGGACUGCGGUGCAUGGCUGCUACUAGGUCUACUUCUGCUGGGAUUUAAAGUGAUGGGGGUGGAGGCAAGAUUUGGCCAGAUCUCCAGGACAACUACUUCUAGUGCACCCCCAUCAGGACCCCCUCUUGCAGCCCCACCUGCUCCUCCAAUGGCUGGCCUUGUGAUCCACAGUCAUGGGGGCAGAGGCAAGGUUGGACGCCCAGUGGCUGUCACUCCAUCAGUUCAGCCGUGUGGAGGCAAAUAAGUACUUUCAGGCAACCCACAGGGGGGAAGUGAACAGUGCUGUUAUCUGCAGCCCCAGGAUCACCCUUGAGGGUCAGUGUGACAGGGAGGUGGAUGUCCUGUUCAGUCACCAUUCUACCACACUGAUUUUUUCACUAAUCAACUGCUCAACAUUACCAAGAGUAUUAGAAUCUGGUCAGAACAAAAUCUCGAACAGCCUGCAGCUCGUAAAGAGCAGGUGGGGGCAGCCCUGAUGGGUGAACUGUUAUUCUUCAAUUUACUUUAUUCUACAUUUCAUGGGUGUAUGUUGAUUUGUGUAUUUUCCAGGAGCUUGCUCGGUUGUCUUGUUAAAAAGAGAUCAGGGAAGAAUUUGUCAGUUUCUCCUAUAUUGGCUCAAAUUGGUUACUGCGUUUGACUUCCCUCUGGAAAGUUGUUUCUUUAAAUAAAUACUGAAUAAAACAUUUCUGUUGCAAUUUGUUAUUAUUGGGUAUCUUAAAUACUGUCACUGA
Molecule: long non-coding RNA, 1458 nt
Organism: Salvelinus namaycush (lake trout)
Lineage: Eukaryota; Metazoa; Chordata; Actinopteri; Salmoniformes; Salmonidae
Exons: 6
Source: RefSeq, a predicted model, not a curated record